GACGUAGGGCGCGAGCGUUGUCCGGAUUUAUUGGGCGUAAAGAGCUCGUAGGCGGCUUGUCGCGUCGACCGUGAAAACUUGGGGCUCAACCCCAAGCCUGCGGUCGAUACGGGCAGGCUAGAGUUCGGUAGGGGAGACUGGAAUUCCUGGUGUAGCGGUGAAAUGCGCAGAUAUCAGGAGGAACACCGGUGGCGAAGGCGGCAUCCUGGACCGGUACUGACGCUGAGGUGCGAAAGCGUGGGGAGCAAACAGG
This 253-nucleotide ribosomal RNA is filed under the name uncultured bacterium. Its description in RNAcentral is "partial 16S ribosomal RNA". It matches the Rfam family "Bacterial small subunit ribosomal RNA", at positions 524 to 776 of the family's 1533-position model. The record is from RNAcentral.